Molecule: long non-coding RNA, 452 nt
Organism: Gasterosteus aculeatus aculeatus (three-spined stickleback)
Lineage: Eukaryota; Metazoa; Chordata; Actinopteri; Perciformes; Gasterosteidae
Source: Ensembl
GAAUAAUAUAAGAAAUUUCAGCUGUACAAAAUCCGGACACAGAUCGGACGCACUGUGUGAACCUGAAGCUGAUGCUGAACAUGGAUUCACGUAAGGCGCUGGAACAACUACGCUGACAGACCAAAUGUGAUGGCUGCCAAAAUACAGCCGACUCCAAAAGAACUGCGUCCCAGAGCUGCGUGUGUGGGAACACACUCCUGCUUUUGGAGAAAAAGAUUAAAAAUACCCCCUUAAGGAAAAAAUACUGAAACCUCAGCAGAGCAUUCCUGAUAAUGACCUGAAAGUGGCACCAUCGCAUCCUUUCACGAUUUUUACUCGUCCUGGAGGAGAAACGGCGGCUUGUGUGUGGUUACAGACAAAGCCCAAACUGACCAAUCGUGUUCUUACCAGCUCCUCAUGCUGCACUCCAUCGUCUCAGUAGUCCCAACGUGUAAUAUUGUACUCUUUUAUUA